AGAGAAGAAAGCUUUAUAUAAUAAAUGAAGGUGCUGAAUAAUGAAGUAUCAGGGAAGAAAAAGGGAGAUAUUUAAGAUGAUAAACAGUAUAUAUUUUGGCCCAUAUAAAGGAUCAACAGACCUUGAAAUUAAACAUUUUAGAAAAUUUGCUGGCAUUUGAAAAAUUAUGUUUGAAUUUAACUGACUGAGGAACAAUAAGAAAGGCAGGCUGUCCCAAUUAUACUUAUAUUUCCAUUGUGUCAUUACAGGAAAACCCAAAUAUUUUCCACCAUAUUUUUUAUUGUGCUUCAGUUUUGGUGGGUGGCCCCUUCUUUAUUGUCAAACAAAUUAGUCAUACAAUUAUGCUGGCUGUCCUUUACCCACUACAGAGGUCAUGAUAGCAGACUGUCCACUUGGCCAACACUUCUUUGGCACCCAGCCACCUUGAGAAUGCCCCUGUUGCCCAGGGCUCACUCCCGCCUCUGCUGAUUGAGCUGCAUGAUUCCUGAUCCAAGCAGAAGGUUCCUCUGUCGUAAAUAAAAGAGCCAUGUGAAAAAGAAGAGAGAUUACAGGUUUAGGAGAGAAGAGAUCAUUGGCAGAACAAGAUCUUGUGGAAGUGUUUUGCAUGCAGUAUGAAACAGAUUGUAAAGAUGGACUCCUGUGGAAUAUGCUGUGUUUGGUGCUAAUUCCCAAUCAAGAUUGCUUAGGAGUUAACCAGGCAAUGGAUAAACAUUUUCUUUCACUGGAAUAUAAGCUUCAUGAUAGCAGGGAUUUUACUUAUUUUCUCAUUGAUGUGUUCCCAGCACAUAGAACUGUAUCUGGCACGUAAUGGUAAUGUAUACUCAAUAACUACUUGUGAAAUGAUAUCUUUGCUUGUGAGACUUUUUUUAAUAUCUUAAUGUGAUUGACCUGUCAGUUUUUUAAAAGAGAG
RNAcentral lists this long non-coding RNA (910 nucleotides) under Cercocebus atys (sooty mangabey). RNAcentral's name for it is "lncRNA (ENSCATG00000045378.1)". The record is from RNAcentral. Lineage: Eukaryota; Metazoa; Chordata; Mammalia; Primates; Cercopithecidae.